AUUGAACGCUGGCGGCAUGCUUUACACAUGCAAGUCGAACGGCAGCGCGGGGCAACCUGGCGGCGAGUGGCGAACGGGUGAGUAAUACAUCGGAACGUACCCAGAAGUGGGGGAUAACGU
Molecule: ribosomal RNA, 120 nt
Filed under: uncultured bacterium
Lineage: Bacteria
Description: partial 16S ribosomal RNA
Rfam family: Bacterial small subunit ribosomal RNA
Source: RNAcentral